GGUUAGAACAGUAGCAGCGUAGAGUAAGAAACGCGAAAGGGGUCUGGAAUCAAUCAAUCCAUCGAUCAUCGUUGUUGUUGUUGUGGUUGUGGUGCCUCUUCUUCUUCAUUUCUUCGGAAGCUAUGGCCGCUGUCUCUGCAAUCUUCAUUUACCCAAUCAAAUCAUGUCGCGGUAUUUCAGUUCCCCAAGCACCUCUUACUCCUACUGGAUUUCGAUGGGACCGUCAAUGGUUGGUUGUGAACUAUAAAGGAAGAGCAUACACUCAGAGAGUGGAACCUAAGCUUGCUUUAGUCGAGGUAGAGCUGCCAACCGAUGCAUUCUUGGAGGACUGGAAGCCUUCUAAAUCCUCAUUUCUUGUCAUAAAAGCACCUGGGAUGGAUGUCUUAAAGGUUCCCCUGUGUGAACCGCAGCAGAAUGCAGAUGGUGUCUCUUGCUGGGAAUGGUCUGGCUCUGCAAUGGAUGAGGGAGAUGGUCCAUCAAAGUGGUUUUCAGAUUAUCUUGGAAAACCCAGUCGUUUGGUUCGCUUUAAUGCAGCUUCACAAACAAGGAAAGUAGAUCCCACAUAUGGUCCUGGACAUCAAAUCAUGUUUUCUGAUGAGUUCCCCUACACGUUGAUAUCUCAGGGGUCUUUGGAUGCCUUGAAUAAAGUUCUCAAAGAACCCAUAUCAAUUAACCGCUUUAGACCUAACAUUCUCGUUGAUGGCUGUGAACCAUUCUCUGAGGAUUUGUGGACUGAGAUCGUAAUAGACAAGUUCAUAUUUCAGGGGGUUAGGCUAUGUGCCCGUUGCAAGAUACCUUCAAUAAACCAGGAGACUGGAGUUGCAGGACCCGAGCCGAAUGAGACUCUAAAGAAUGUGAGAUCAGAUACCGUCCUGCGUCCAAACCAUAAACAGAAGGGAAAAAUUUUCUUUGGCCAGAAUUUGGUUUGGAAGAACUUAGCAAUUGCAGGGAAGGGAAAAAUCAUAAAAGUGGGAGAUAAAGUCAAGAUUGUGGGGAAGGUUUCCUCUGUAGCGGAAGCAGUAGUUUGAAUACGUAAGAUUACUAAUUAUUAUACAUAACAUACAUACAAUAAGAGAUUAUAUGGACAUUAUGAUGAUAUGGGCUUUGUUUAUAUAAUACCGUAGAAGCCAAAGGUGAAGCAAGUGAGAUGGGGUAUUAGUUGCUUGCUCAGCGUUUCCUGUGUGAGAAGUGACAAUAAUUAAAUAUAAAUGUUAUAAAUGUAUGAAUAAAAAGGGGUAUGAUGAGUCCCCGUAGUGUAUUACUG
Molecule: unclassified non-coding RNA, 1264 nt
Filed under: Hevea brasiliensis (rubber tree)
Lineage: Eukaryota; Viridiplantae; Streptophyta; Magnoliopsida; Malpighiales; Euphorbiaceae
Source: RNAcentral